RNAcentral lists this long non-coding RNA (864 nucleotides) under Melopsittacus undulatus (budgerigar). RNAcentral describes it as "lncRNA (ENSMUNG00000018229.1)". The record is from RNAcentral. Lineage: Eukaryota; Metazoa; Chordata; Aves; Psittaciformes; Psittaculidae.
GCACAAAGCAUUUUUGGGACAGAGAAGUCAUUUCAGCACUUCCAGUUGGGAGCCGCGGGCCGGACGUGGAGGGUCUGCUCCCCAGGACAGCGAGGAAGGGGAGACGGAGCCAUCCCCCGGCCUGGGUGAGAGGAAGAUGAAGGUCCUGCUGAUGGUGGCAGUGCUGUUUGCCUGCAGUGUGUUCACAGCUCAUGGGAAGCUCCCGCACACGUUUGCACCAGGACUCGAGGGGAGCACCGUAGGAAAUGUGACCCAUGGCUGCCCCUCGGGAUGGGGCACGUCGAGGGCUUCAAUGGACCGGUGCUGCCGGCUCCGUGCCUGCUGCUACGCCAGGCUGGCGGCACGGCGCUGCCGCGUGGGACCCGUCCAGCCCUCCUCCGUGCCCCAGGCAGGAGCCCGCAGCUGCAGCUCCGGGACCUGGUGCCAGAGGGGCGCCUGCCGAUGCGAGCGGGCAGCCCUGCUCUGCCGCAUGCGGAGCCGGGGGCAGCUCCGGAGCCGCAGCAAGUGCCGGGGCCGAGGCGGGCGGUGCUGAGGCCGAAGGGCUCCUUGCAUUGAACCUGGCUGAUGGGCGAGCAAGAGCAGCGAGCCCACGGGUCUCCUCCGUGGGGCUUUCUGGCUCCCACACGAGCACGAGCACCCUCUGGGGCAGUUCCAUCCAUGCACACCGGGUCCGAGGAGGGAGAGCAGCUCAGGUGCGAUGUCUCAGCACAGAGAACCAAGGGAGGGGUGGGCACCCGCUCCUCAUGGCUGCGAAGGGCGAGGUGGAAGCCAGAGCAUCUCCCCUUGGCUCCUGCGCAGCCUCUCGGCUCCCUCUGCUUUUCGCUUCCCUGCACGUUCCCUUCGGCUGCUCCCAAAUAAAACCAG